This 497-nucleotide ribosomal RNA is filed under the name uncultured bacterium. Its description in RNAcentral is "partial 16S ribosomal RNA". It matches the Rfam family "Bacterial small subunit ribosomal RNA", at positions 28 to 507 of the family's 1533-position model. The record is from RNAcentral.
GAUGAACGCUGGCGGCGUGCCUAAUACAUGCAAGUCGAGCGAACAGACGAGGAGCUUGCUCCUCUGACGUUAGCGGCGGACGGGUGAGUAACACGUGGAUAACCUACCUAUAAGACUGGGAUAACUUCGGGAAACCGGAGCUAAUACCGGAUAAUAUAUUGAACCGCAUGGUUCAAUAGUGAAAGACGGUUUUGCUGUCACUUAUAGAUGGAUCCGCGCCGCAUUAGCUAGUUGGUAAGGUAACGGCUUACCAAGGCAACGAUGCGUAGCCGACCUGAGAGGGUGAUCGGCCACACGGGAACUGAGACACGGUCAAGACUCCUACGGGAGGCAGCAGAAGGGAAUCUUCCGCAAUGGGCGAAAGCUUGACGGAGCAACGCCGCGUGAGUGAUGAAGGUCUUCGGAUCGUAAAACUCUGUUAUUAGGGAAGAACAAAUGUGUAAGUAACUAUGCACGUCUUGACGGUACCUAAUCAGAAAGCCACGGCUAACUACGUG